This 405-nucleotide ribosomal RNA is filed under the name uncultured bacterium. Its description in RNAcentral is "bacterial SSU rRNA". It matches the Rfam family "Bacterial small subunit ribosomal RNA", at positions 28 to 413 of the family's 1533-position model. The record is from RNAcentral.
GAUGAACGCUGGCGGCGUGCUUAACACAUGCAAGUCGAACGAAGCACUUUACCUGAUUUCCUUCGGGGAUGAUUGUUCUGUGACUGAGUGGCGGACGGGUGAGUAACGCGUGGAUAACCUGCCUCACACAGGGGGAUAACAGUUGGAAACGACUGCUAAUACCGCAUAAGCGCACAGCACCGCAUGGUGCAGUGUGAAAAACUCCGGUGGUGUGAGAUGGAUCCGCGUCUGAUUAGCUUGUUGGCGGGGUAACGGCCCACCAAGGCGACGAUCAGUAGCCGGCCUGAGAGGGCGACCGGCCACAUUGGGACUGAGACACGGCCCAGACUCCUACGGGAGGCAGCAGUGGGGAAUAUUGCACAAUGGGGGAAACCCUGAUGCAGCGACGCCGCGUGAGCGAUGAAG